GACGAACGCUGGCGGCGUGCUUAACACAUGCAAGUCGAACGGAAAGGCCCUGCUUUUGUGGGGUGCGCGAGGGGCGAACGGGUGAGUAACACGUGAGUAACCUGCCCUUGACUGUGGGAGAACCUAAGGAAACUGGGGCUAAUACCGGCUAGGAGCUCCUGCUGCAGGGUGGGCGCGGGAUAGAUUCGGUGGUUGGGAGUGUAAUGGCGGCUUAUGAGCUUGAUGGUUGGGUAGUGGCUGAGCAAGGCUAGGAAGGGUAGCAGGCCUGCGCGGGUGAGCGGACACAUUACGCCUGAGAUACGACACAGACUCGAACGGUAGGCAACAGUGGAGAAGAUUGCACAGUGGGCGGGAGCCUGGUGUAGCACAGCCGCGUGCGGGAAGACGGGCUUCGGGUUGUGAAGCGCUGUCGCUUGUGACGAGGCGAGAGUGACGGUACCGGGUGAAGAAGCACCGGCUAACUACGUG
RNAcentral lists this ribosomal RNA (468 nucleotides) under uncultured bacterium. RNAcentral describes it as "partial 16S ribosomal RNA". It matches the Rfam family "Bacterial small subunit ribosomal RNA", at positions 28 to 507 of the family's 1533-position model. The record is from RNAcentral.